GAUGAACGCUGGCGGCGUGCUUAACACAUGCAAGUCGAACGAUGAAGCCCAGCUUGCUGGGUGGAUUAGUGGCGAACGGGUGAGUAACACGUGAGUAACCUGCCCUUAACUCUGGGAUAAGCCUGGGAAACUGUGUCUAAUACCGGAUAGGAGCGCCUACCGCAUGGUGGGUGUUGGAAAGAUUUAUCGGUUUUGGAUGGACUCGCGGCCUAUCAGCUUGUUGGUGAGGUAAUGGCUCACCAAGGCGACGACGGGUAGCCGGCCUGAGAGGGUGACCGGCCACACUGGGACUGAGACACGGCCCAGACUCCUACGGGAGGCAGCAGUGGGGAAUAUUGCACAAUGGGCGAAAGCCUGAUGCAGCGACGCCGCGUGAGGGAUGACGGCCUUCGGGUUGUAAACCUCUUUCAGUAGGGAAGAAGCGAAAGUGACGGUACCUGCAGAAGAAGCACCGGCUAACUACGUG
This 466-nucleotide ribosomal RNA is filed under the name uncultured bacterium. RNAcentral describes it as "partial 16S ribosomal RNA". It matches the Rfam family "Bacterial small subunit ribosomal RNA", at positions 28 to 507 of the family's 1533-position model. The record is from RNAcentral.